Molecule: long non-coding RNA, 1044 nt
Filed under: Homo sapiens (human)
Lineage: Eukaryota; Metazoa; Chordata; Mammalia; Primates; Hominidae
Description: LHRI_LNC1973.1
Source: RNAcentral
GGAGUCUCGCUCUGUCACCCAGGCUGAAGUGCAGUGGCACAAUCUCCGCUCACUGCAAGCUCCGCCUCCUGGGUGCACGCCAUUCUCCUGCCUCAGCCUCCCGAGUAGCUGAGACUAUAGGCGCCCGCCACCACGCCUGGCUAAUUUUUUUUGUAUUUUUAGUAGAGACUGGGUUUCACCAUGUUAGCCAGGAUGGUCUCAAUCUCCUGACCUCGUGAUCUGCCCAUCUCAGCCUCCCAAAGUGCUGGGAUUACAGGCGUGAGCCACCGCACCCAGCCUACAUUUCUUAGCAAUCUUAAAACCUUUCAUUAUUUUAUGAUAAGGUAGCACUUUAGACGGGAGAAGGUUUUAGACCCUGAGUUUUGAUAUGAGAUUAUAUUAUACUACAUUGUCUAGGAAUGAAAAAAAAUCAUAUCAUAGUAGUCAUCAUCUAUUGUAUCACAGUAGUAUGAUAGUAGUUUGAGGUCUGUCUCAUCAAAGCAUGGAUGAAAAUGUUCUUCAUUUGACCAGAAUGUCCAUGUCCCUUAGAGCCAGCAUUCUUAUUCUCUGGACAGCCCUGGACUCACAGGUCAGACCUGCCUCAAAACAAACGAUUCUGUCCCUCUGCCAGGAAAGCUACUGCCCAAUCUCUCUACUUCCCACCAUCAUCAUUUGAAUAUCCACUCAAAGGUCACUUUCUAGCAGACAGACCUCUGUUGCUUCCUCCCCGCAAGCCCAAGCUGAAUCAACUCUCCUGUCAUAGUAGUCAUCAUGGUAGUUAAUGUUGAUUAUUACUGAAAAGGAAAUGGUCCUUUUCAGGCAAAAGGCAUGCACAACAAUACACAAAGGAGGAAAUACAAAUGACCAAAUAACAUAUGGAAAAGUGUUUAAUCUCACUGUAAAUAAAAAUAUAUACAAAUUAAAACAACAGUGAACAAAAUUCUUAACUUAUUAAUGUAUCAAAUAUUUUAUAAAAUUGUUUUUUAUGUAUUCAUUUUUGUAAAUGAGACGCCUAAUAUGAAUGAGGAAACAAGGAAGUGGCUAUUGAUACAUUGCAGGUAGGGA